UUCAGUAAUGGUGAGUUUUUCACCUUCUCCUUCAUUGUUUUGCUCAUCUGAAUAAAAAAAAAAAAGGCAAGAUUAAAGAAAAAGCAAUAGUUUUAUUAUUUUUACCCUGUUAUGUCUGUUUCCUCAGUAUUUGCUGGAGCUGUGCUUACCCAAGGUUUGGGUAAAACAAGCUUUGGGUUCCUUCUGUCUCACUGGGAGUUGCCCAAUUCAGUUGCAUCUGGUGAAAUUCACCCUGAGACCUUACAGAACUAGCUCCAACUACGUGAGAGCCAUUUGCAGUUCUCUCCAGACACCUGGAGAAUGGGCGACGUUUCUGAGGAUCCGGCGAGCGUGCUUCUAUCAAAACUCAGUCUGUGAAAUUUCUGGGGAAAACACUUCUGUGUCCUGAAGGGUUCAAACUCUGGUGAGGAUCCAGUUAUCAGGUGCUCACCUGGAUGGUUCCAGCUCCCAAAGGGAAAGGCUCUCGUAUCCUUGUCGUCGGGCUCGGUGCUGUCCAAGAAGAUACAGAGACUAAAAAAAUCAUAAGAAGCAAAAUAUGACUGCAGGGAAAAGAAGCUGGAGAGAACAGAAGACAUUGCUCCACUCCCCAGAGGAUUAUUGUGAGCAGAUGUGAGCUCUGCUGUCCCUUUGGACUGACAAAGACAGAGGUUUUGUCCCAAGUUGCUUUUGAACCUGUCCUGCACCCGUUACGAGUCCUCAGUCUCCUGCAAUUUUGUGGGUCAGUCACAUGUAAAACAGCACAGCUGGCUGGCAUGCUUUGCUCAUGAGGGGAGACAAGAGAAGAAUCCCUCUGCUCACACCAGACCUGCAGCUGCCAAACCUCACCAAAGCACCUGAGGAGCCCCCAGGGACUGAUGGUACAGAAGGGAGGUGAUGGAGGACAGCACAGCAGGCAGCCUGCCCUCCAUCUGGCUGUGAAGAAGGCAGGGCUGGGAACUGUCAGCAACAUCCCAGCAGGUCUGGCUGAUGGUGCCACCCUGAGGGCUUCCCCUGCCUUUGGGCAGUCCCAGCUGCUGCAGCUCACUUGACAGAGACUCAUUGUCUAUACUGUGCUUGGCUGCACUGGAGAUGAUGAAGCCGAGGACAGCAAUGGUUGCCUUCACAUCCCCUGACUGCAGAUGGGAAGGAGGGCGAGCUCUGUCACCUUGGGAAGGCCUCUGCAGAGUCACUGCUGCCCGUCUCU
Long non-coding RNA from Melospiza melodia melodia, 1183 nucleotides. RefSeq lists it as uncharacterized. The transcript has 3 exons. The record is from RefSeq and is a predicted model, not a curated record. Lineage: Eukaryota; Metazoa; Chordata; Aves; Passeriformes; Passerellidae.